GUGAGAUUGAUCAGCUUUUAAUUAUUAAUCAGUUUGUUAGUGUGUAUUUCACGUAUGUUCACUACAACAGAAUUAGAUUAUAGGGACACAUGUUUGGGACACUUUUGAGUAAGUGUCCCAUUUAUACUAAAACUUAAAAAAAAAUCUACUAAUGGCUAAAUAUAAAGCUCAAUCCAACCAAAAAUAAAAGAUUAUUCUACUCAACCCACCACACCCAGUCUAUUUGGUCCGAUUACAAACAUAAAAGAAAAAAAAAAAAGGAAAAUCAAUUACCAUAUUUUCUUCUUUCUUUACUCAAUCCACUGAAAUUCUAGACGAAGAGCCUUUCCUGUUGUUCUCCUCCGCCACCACAGCUGACGAGAUAGAGUUUCGGCGGUUGCUAAAUGCUUAAAUAAGUGUUGGUAAAUUAGCAGCAUUCUUUUAGAUUAUAGCGACACUCUUUAACUGUCACUAUAUACCUAGCGACCCCACAUAUAGCAACACUUUUUAAAAAUGUCGGUAAUUUUAACUAGCAGCACUUUUUUGACAUGUACCUAUAUUUAAAAGUGUCGCUAUAGACCGUUUUUGUUGUAGUGGUUAGAUCCCUCUCUCUCUCUCCCUCUCUCUUUCUCUUCAUUUUCACCUUUAGCCACCAUGCAUAUAGGAUCUAGGUCUA
This 655-nucleotide long non-coding RNA is filed under the name Ananas comosus (pineapple). RNAcentral describes it as "long non-coding RNA (ACOM_LNC002945)". Lineage: Eukaryota; Viridiplantae; Streptophyta; Magnoliopsida; Poales; Bromeliaceae. The record is from RNAcentral.